AAGUUUGCAGCGUUCGAUCGUACAUUGAAUACUGUACGCGCACGGCAUACAGCACGCGACACUCGACACAAUUGGAGCUGAGAGCUGGGAGCUGAUCAGUGCGCGACAGUGCGCGGCAGUGCGUGUUAAACCGUUGGCGAAUGGUCGGCGAACAAUCGUUCGCUGUAUUCGUUUGAUGAUUUCGCAACGCGUACGCGGUAUCGAUGACAUUAGACUGGACGUGAUCUUCGGCUUUCCCCGGUCUUCCAAGUGAUCGUUUGUGACUCACGCGUUUCCUUUUUCUCGAGAAUACCGCAUCGAUACCACCAUGAAUAAUAGCUACGAUGUGAAAUCCAGCGACGACGUCACGACGGUGCCGCAUCAGCGCAUGCAUGAGUCGGAGACCAGGAAGGCGACCGAGAACACGUCUCUGUCUCCCAACAAUAAUCAGACCUACUUCGCCGAUGAAAGGGUACAGGUGCCAGAAACAGGACGUACGGGAUUUAGCUUUAGAAAACUAUGGGCCUUCACAGGACCUGGUUUCUUGAUGUCCAUAGCUUAUUUGGAUCCUGGCAACAUAGAGUCGGAUCUGCAAUCCGGAGUGGCAGCAAGAUACAAGUUAUUAUGGGUACUACUAAGCGCUACUAUCCUAGGUCUCGUUAUGCAAAGAUUGAGCGCACGCCUCGGCGUGGUAACCGGUCUACAUUUGGCGGAGAUGUGUUACAGACAGUAUAAAAAAGUACCUAGACUUAUUUUAUGGAUAAUGAUUGAAAUAGCAAUUAUUGGUAGUGAUAUGCAAGAGGUAAUAGGAACGGCUAUUGCCCUUUACCUCUUAUCUAAUAAAGCAAUUCCUAUAUGGGGUGGCGUACUUAUUACGGUAAUUGAUACUUUCACAUUUUUAUUUCUGGAUAAAUACGGCUUGAGAAAGUUAGAAUUGUUUUUUGGUUUUCUUAUCACGGUCAUGGCUAUCACCUUUGGUUACGAGUACAUUGUUUCCGCACCUUCUCAAAUAGAUGUUAUAAGCGGUAUGUUUGUCCCAUGGUACAAUGGAAUGAAUUACGAUAACAAGGUGCUACUUCAAGCUGUAGGAAUCGUUGGUGCAGUCAUUAUGCCGCAUAAUUUGUAUCUUCAUAGUGCUUUGGUCAAAUCCAGGGACAUCGAUCGAAGACAGCCUUCGAAGAUCAAAGAUGCUAAUAUGUAUUAUUUCAUUGAAGCCUGUAUCGCGCUAUUCGUUUCGUUUAUAAUCAACGUAUUUGUUGUGGCUGUAUUCGCUCACGGCCUCUACGAUAAAACAAACAACGAUGUUCGUAAGAUUUGUGAAGCAAAUAAUUAUACUCUGGGUAUGGAGACAUUUGAUAAAAAUAAUGCGACAUUGGAUGCUGAUCUUUACAAGGGAGGAAUCUUCCUCGGUUGCUCUUUCGGCGCAGCUGCGAUGUACAUAUGGGCCGUUGGCAUUUUAGCUGCCGGUCAAUCGUCUACGAUGACGGGCACUUAUGCUGGUCAAUUUGCGAUGGAAGGUUUCUUAAAUCUGCAAUGGGCACGGUGGAAACGAGUCCUUUUCACUCGAACAAUCGCCAUAGUUCCUACAUUCUUAGUAGCGUUCUAUGCUGACAUGAACAAUUUGAGCGGCAUGAACGACAUUCUGAAUGCAAUAAUGAGUUUACAAUUACCGUUCGCCACGCUGCCAACAAUUGCCUUUACGAGUAGCGUUCAGAUCAUGGGUGAAUUCCGAAACGGAAUACUAAAUAAGAUCGUAUCGACUGCCCUGUCGGUUCUGGUAAUAACAAUAAACAUAUAUUUCGUGAUACAAACUGUCCAAGAAGAUCUACCUCAUCAUUGGGCCAUAUACUUCGGCAUGUCUGUAUACGCGAUUUUAUAUCUUAUUUUCUGUGCUUAUUUGGCUAUCCAUAUGGCUGUGAGCAUGGGUGCGACUUCUCUCAGUAACAAUUGGUUUGUUACUAAGUACAUUGGUACACCUGUGAGUCCGACGCUCGGUAUAACGAAUCCUGCUGUUUAUGCCAGUUUUCACAAUACGUCGGAAACUUCGUUAAACACUUAGUCGGAAUAACGCAGUUGAAUACGUGAGACAAUAUGCGACGCUUGCAUUCCACAAACAAUGUGAAAACAAUGUUGCGUUGGAAAGGUGCUUAUAACAUCUCGUGAUGUCAGCAUGAUGUCCCAUGGUAUGUGUACUAUCACUGAAAGAUAUAUAUUAUAAUAAAUAAAUAUAUGGUGCUUUUUAUAAAGUACGCUUUGUCAUCGUUAUUGAAUGAUAAGUCUGCUGUACGCCGGAAUGUCGUUGCGCCUACCUUGUCAUCAGUUCUCUUCAUUAUCCGUUUCUUGUGUCUUUCUAAAAAUAAAUUUAUGUAUAACGAGUGAUUAACCAAAACUAUUUUCGUUGCAUGCACAUUUUUAACAAACGAAAGUUUGAAAAUGAAAGGCUGAGUUGUCGAAGAACAAAUCCAGCAUUUUCUAUUCAAGAAAAUUUGAGCGGCAGUUUUUCAUCUAUAUCAGAAUGGUAAUACAACUAUAUUAAUUAGUAUUGGAUAUGUAUAAGCGAUAUAUUGCGAUGGAAACGAGAAAAAGAGUAAAAUUGAAAACGGACAAUUGGAUAAAAGGUAAUGUUCAGUCACGGCCUGAUGCCGUUGUUAACAUUUUAUUAAAAAAUUUUAUUAAAAAAUCGUUAACAUAA
Molecule: RNA transcript, 2671 nt
Organism: Pogonomyrmex barbatus (red harvester ant)
Lineage: Eukaryota; Metazoa; Arthropoda; Insecta; Hymenoptera; Formicidae
Gene: Mvl
Gene name: solute carrier family member malvolio
Source: RefSeq, a predicted model, not a curated record